UCCCCCAUAUCUCAGUUGGUAAAGAAUCUGCCUGCAAUGCAGGAGACCCUGGUUCAAUUCCUGGGUUGGGAA
Transfer RNA from Ovis aries (sheep), 72 nucleotides. It matches the Rfam family "tRNA". From Rfam's summary of the family: Transfer RNA (tRNA) molecules are approximately 80 nucleotides in length. Lineage: Eukaryota; Metazoa; Chordata; Mammalia; Artiodactyla; Bovidae. The record is from Rfam.